CAUUAAUGAUUUAUAAUGGGAGUUGAUGCUGGUAGCCCUUGGCUGCAGUGUGGCUCGCUCCUAUCAAUCAUAUUCCCAACACCUGUGCACAUUUUUGAGGGGGUCUCCGAGCUGAUUUUGCCAUAUUUUGGUCAUUUGCCGAGUAAUUCCCCUUAAAAUUUAAAUCAUCUAUACUCUACUGAUAAUAUUGAACGUGUUGUCGGAUAAAGGUCCUAAUAAAAAAUUACAACUUUUAACAACGGAUCUCUUGGCUCUCGCAUCGAUGAAGAACGCAGCGAAAUGCGAUAAGUAAUGUGAAUUGCAGAAUUCAGUGAAUCAUCGAAUUUUUGAACGCACCUUGCGCUCCCUGGUAUUCCGGGGAGCACGCCUGUUCGAGUGUCGUGAAAUAUCUCAAGCGGAUGGGUCUUGUCCCUAUCAGUCUUGGUUGUUGGGCUUUGCCAUGUUCUUCAUUGGAAUGGCUGGCCUUAAAAGUAUUAGCUGACCUUCAAGUGGGCAUUGGUUCUACUCAGCGUGAUAAUUAUCUGAUCGCUGAGGAUAUCUUUUGAGAUGGCCAGUUGUCACUUGGGUUUGCUUCUAAUCUAGCUGGGUUUCAUGGACUUUUAAUCUGUGAAUCCAAUUUUUCCGACUUUGACCUCGAAUCAGGUGGGACUACCCGCUGAACUUAAGCAUAUCAAUAAGCGGAGGAAAAGAAACUAACAAGGAUUCCCCUAGUAACGGCGAGUGAAGCGGGAAGAGCUCAAAUUUAAAAUCUGGCAGCCUUUGGUUGUCCGAAUUGUAAUCUAGAGAAGCGUUUUCCGCGCUGGACUGUGUACAAGUUUCCUGGAUACGGAACAUCAUAGAGGGUGAGAAUCCCGUCCUUGACACAGACUCCCAGUGCUUUGUGAUGCGCUCUCGACGAGUCGAGUUGUUUGGGAUUGCAGCUCAAAAUGGGAGGUAAAUUCCUUCUAAAGCUAAAUAUUGGCGAGAGACCGAUAGCGAACAAGUACCGUGAGGGAAAGAUGAAAAGCACUUUGGAAAGAGAGUUAAACAGUACGUGAAAUUGUUAAAAGGGAAACGCUUGAAGUCAGUCGCGUCUGCUUGGACUCAACCUCACUUCGGUUUGGUGCAUUUCCUUGCAGACGGGCCAGCGUUCAUGUUGUUUGCUGGAGAAGGGGUAAGAGAAUGUGGCUCCCUUGGGAGUGUUAUAGCUCUUGCUCGCAUGCGGGAAAUGAUAUGAAGUGGUACAGCACGC
This 1231-nucleotide ribosomal RNA is filed under the name Clavulina cf. connata TH 9586. RNAcentral's name for it is "eukaryotic LSU rRNA". The stretch from base 629 to 1231 matches the Rfam family "Eukaryotic large subunit ribosomal RNA", at positions 1 to 603 of the family's 3401-position model. The record is from RNAcentral. Lineage: Eukaryota; Fungi; Basidiomycota; Agaricomycetes; Cantharellales; Hydnaceae.